RNAcentral lists this antisense RNA (81 nucleotides) under Prodigiosinella confusarubida. RNAcentral describes it as "Serratia sp. ATCC 39006 antisense RNA of dnaA mRNA". It matches the Rfam family "antisense RNA of dnaA mRNA". The record is from Rfam by way of RNAcentral. Lineage: Bacteria; Pseudomonadati; Pseudomonadota; Gammaproteobacteria; Enterobacterales; Pectobacteriaceae.
UUUGGCAUUGGGUUUACGGGUGACGAUACCGUUACCCACCGCAUGCAGUAGAUGGGUUUUACCCAGUCCGGUUCCACCGUA